RNAcentral lists this ribosomal RNA (713 nucleotides) under Salmonella enterica. RNAcentral's name for it is "bacterial SSU rRNA". It matches the Rfam family "Bacterial small subunit ribosomal RNA", at positions 809 to 1522 of the family's 1533-position model. Lineage: Bacteria; Pseudomonadati; Pseudomonadota; Gammaproteobacteria; Enterobacterales; Enterobacteriaceae. RNAcentral also lists the same sequence under 1 other name. The record is from RNAcentral.
AUGUCUACUUGGAGGUUGUGCCCUUGAGGCGUGGCUUCCGGAGCUAACGCGUUAAGUAGACCGCCUGGGGAGUACGGCCGCAAGGUUAAAACUCAAAUGAAUUGACGGGGGCCCGCACAAGCGGUGGAGCAUGUGGUUUAAUUCGAUGCAACGCGAAGAACCUUACCUGGUCUUGACAUCCACAGAACUUUCCAGAGAUGGAUUGGUGCCUUCGGGAACUGUGAGACAGGUGCUGCAUGGCUGUCGUCAGCUCGUGUUGUGAAAUGUUGGGUUAAGUCCCGCAACGAGCGCAACCCUUAUCCUUUGUUGCCAGCGAUUAGGUCGGGAACUCAAAGGAGACUGCCAGUGAUAAACUGGAGGAAGGUGGGGAUGACGUCAAGUCAUCAUGGCCCUUACGACCAGGGCUACACACGUGCUACAAUGGCGCAUACAAAGAGAAGCGACCUCGCGAGAGCAAGCGGACCUCAUAAAGUGCGUCGUAGUCCGGAUUGGAGUCUGCAACUCGACUCCAUGAAGUCGGAAUCGCUAGUAAUCGUGGAUCAGAAUGCCACGGUGAAUACGUUCCCGGGCCUUGUACACACCGCCCGUCACACCAUGGGAGUGGGUUGCAAAAGAAGUAGGUAGCUUAACCUUCGGGAGGGCGCUUACCACUUUGUGAUUCAUGACUGGGGUGAAGUCGUAACAAGGUAACCGUAGGGGAACCUGCGGUUGGA